CUCGACCUCAGAUCANACGAGANGACCCGCUGAAUUUAAGCAUAUUANUAAGUGGAGGAAAAGAAACUAACCAGGAUUCCCUCAGUAGCGGCGAGCGAAGAGGGAGGAGCCCAGCACCGAAUCCCCGCCCGCCCGGCGGCCGGGACCUGUGGUGUACAGAAGAGCGCCUGCCCGGCGUCGCUCGGGGGCCUGAGUCCUUNUGAUCGAGGCUCAGCCCGUGGACGGUGUGAGGCCGGUAACGNNCCCCCGUCGCGCCGGGGCUCGCUCUUCCCGGAGUCGGGUUGUUUGGGAAUNCAGCCCAAAGCGGGUGGUAAACUCCAUCUNAGGCUAAANACCGGCACGAGACCGAUAGUNGACAAGUACCUUNAGGGAAAGU
Molecule: ribosomal RNA, 376 nt
Filed under: Tetraodon nigroviridis (spotted green pufferfish)
Lineage: Eukaryota; Metazoa; Chordata; Actinopteri; Tetraodontiformes; Tetraodontidae
Description: partial 28S ribosomal RNA
Rfam family: Eukaryotic large subunit ribosomal RNA
Source: RNAcentral